Non-coding RNA from Nothobranchius furzeri (turquoise killifish), 1091 nucleotides. The record is from RefSeq and is a predicted model, not a curated record. NCBI's taxonomy places the organism in Eukaryota, Metazoa, Chordata, Actinopteri, Cyprinodontiformes, Nothobranchiidae.
CAGGACGGGACCGGCCGUCCAAUUGCUGACAAGAAAAUGAAAGGGUAGGAAUGGGAAUGUAUCCAAUCAGCGUCGACGUUGUUUCAGAAGCAUGAUGGGCGAUAGAGCUACCGCCAAAGGAUUCGUUGGUGUUCGGUAGAACUCGGCAGAGUCGUUUUUGGUCGUGACGCAGAUGUAACAUGGACGCUGCCGGUGACUACAACCAGCAUGGAUACCGGAUCUCAGCAGCCAUGAAUUCAGUUCGGUCUCUUCUCCAGUAUCCGUUCGAGAGGAGAACUAUGGUGGAAAAACUUAAUGUCAAAGAGCUUGGACCAGAUCAGCCCGACGUAAAGAUAAGCCAGCAGGACAAGGAGAGAGGUAAACUGUACACACGAGGCUUCUCCCAAAAUUGGUACACCAGGAAGGCUUGGCUAGCUGGAUGCAAUCACGCUAAUGCUUUAUUUUGCUUUCCGUGUUUGUUAUUCAAAACGGCUGGGACAGAUAAGGCAUGGAUGAGUCAGGAGUUACAGACCUGAAACAUUUUUCUGAGAAGGUGAAGAAACACGAGUCAUCCCGGGCACACAUGGACAACAACACGGUGAAGCUAGCCAUGCUAGGCGGAGCUAACAUUGCCAUGCAGGGAACAACAGCAGCUGGGUGCAGAGAGGAUUAAGACUUUCCUGAGGAACACCAUGACACAGGAUGGGCUGAAUGCUCUUGCCAUGCUCUCCAUGGAAAAAAAAGCUUGUCACAAACAUUCCUGACUUCAAUAAAAAGCUCAUCGAGAGCUUUGCCACUCAGAAGGACAGAAGGGCAAAAUUUCUGUACAAAUGAGGUAUCACACACACACACACACACACACACACACACACACACACACACACACACACACACACACACACACACACACACACACACACACACACACACACACAUGCAUCCACUUGAUCUUUGUAUAAAGUUGACCUUGGCACAACACUCCAGAAAUAUUUAACAGUGUAAAUUUCUGGCAUUUUGUCUAAGUAGUGUUUACUACCAUUACUGUAACAGUGACCUGCUCGUAAUUUUUCGUGUUCACUCAAAUGUUGAAAUUAAACAAAAUGUUUUUGUUA